RNAcentral lists this long non-coding RNA (279 nucleotides) under Elaeis guineensis (African oil palm). RNAcentral describes it as "long non-coding RNA (EGUI_LNC053791)". Lineage: Eukaryota; Viridiplantae; Streptophyta; Magnoliopsida; Arecales; Arecaceae. The record is from RNAcentral.
AUUUCUACUUGCAAGAGUACUAUCGAUUCGAAACUCCUCAGGAUAGGAGGCUGGCCGUCAGAUCUUCAAGGAGGUAGCCACACAUAGGCUUCGGGAUGGACUGUACAGCCUUAGACAGUCCGCCAUAGAGCAAUCCAGUUCUAAGUCACCAUUGGACUAAAAGUUUUACAUAGAUCACUGGAUGUGGGCAGACAUAUGGGAGGUCCUCUAUGAUCGGUGAAGCCCUAAGCAGUACUCUGGUAGGCGGUAGAGGACACAGCAAAAUCAAACCACCUAGCA